AAUGAACGUUGGCGGCAUGGAUUAGGCAUGCAAGUCGAGCGAGAAGUGUAGCAAUACACGGAAAGCGGCGGAAGGGAGAGUAAUACGUGGGAAUCUGCCCUUAGACCUGGGAUAGCAGCGGGAAACUGCUGGUAAUACCAGAUAAUGUCUAUGGACCAAAGGUGUGAUUCCGUCUAGGGAUGAGCCCACGUCCUAUUAGCUAGUUGGUAGGGUAAUGGCCUACCAAGGCGAUGAUGGGUAGCGGGUGUGAGAGCAUGACCCGCCUCACUGGGACUGAGACACUGCCCAGACACCUACGGGUGGCUGCAGUCGAGAAUCUUCGGCAAUGGGCGCAAGCCUGACCGAGCGAUGCCGCGUGCGGGAUGAAGGCCUUCGGGUUGUAACCUCUUUUAUUAGGUAAAAGGACGAAUCGUGCUAAUACCAACGGUUGUUUGUAUGUUACCUGUUGAUAAGCCCGGCUAACUACGUGCCAGCAGCCGCGGUAAU
RNAcentral lists this ribosomal RNA (486 nucleotides) under uncultured bacterium. RNAcentral's name for it is "bacterial SSU rRNA". It matches the Rfam family "Bacterial small subunit ribosomal RNA", at positions 29 to 524 of the family's 1533-position model. The record is from RNAcentral.